Molecule: long non-coding RNA, 2962 nt
Filed under: Pongo abelii (Sumatran orangutan)
Lineage: Eukaryota; Metazoa; Chordata; Mammalia; Primates; Hominidae
Description: lncRNA (ENSPPYG00000037460.1)
Source: RNAcentral
UCAGGAAUAUAGGUGAAUAACAAAUAGGGCAGCAUAGCAAAUUGCUCAGACUCAAGCCAAAUUGAGGUCAACAUAGUAUGCCAAAAUAAGGCAAAUCCACCCCCCUACCACGAUACUUAACACACAGAAUACUAUGUGAUAUAGAAUGCAUUGAAGACCUAUGGUCACUGGUAGUUUAAGCCACAGGCCUUCCUCAUGUAACCAGAGACAGAAUGGGCUACUUGCAAAAAUAUAACUCCUUGUGUGUAUAUUAAAUUGAUAAAAUCUCUGGCAGUAAAGCCAGCCUGAAAGAAUGGCCUCACCAUCUUAGAAUACUCAGAUCUCAGCAGAACAUUGUAAGCCAUAUAAACAAACAGUAGCCGAAGAGUCAGCAACAGUGAACCCAUCUAAAAGAUUUAAGUGUUUAAAAUGGGCAAAAGCGAUUAGGGGAAAAAAACAGGUGAAUUUUAAAAUAAACCAGGGUAAGGUAAAUUCUAGAAAUAAUGGCAUUUGAAAUGAAAACCUCACUUAAGUUCACUGGAACAGUAAACAGGAGAUUGCUGAAUUUUCUGAAGACAGCAAUGACCUCACCUAGAUGACUGUCGUUUGGCGAACAUCAAGAUUUUGAUGUGUACUAUAAUGCUUAGUAUGUCCAAAUUUUCAAAAUCAAGUUUCUCAGGUAUUAUUUCUGCCAUAGGAGCUACAGUGUAGAGUAUCACAUAAAUAUCUUGGGCUAAAGAAAUGCAGUUUAUAUAUACCGUUGGAUUUUUAUAAUAAAGUUUUUUCCCCAAGAUCUGUUACUUUGCCAGAUAUACCGUUGGAUUUUUAUAAUAAAGUUUUUUCCCCAAGAUCUGUUACUUUGCCAGAAAUGCUUCUAGUAUGCUUCUAGAUAAAAUUAUUGCCCCUUCAGUGACUCAUGGUGUCCAAAUGAUCAUUUUAGUCUGUUGCUUUUUACAAGGGAGUAUUUCAAAUGUCUUAAGCUUUUGAUAGUUAUAAUUUAAGAACACAUAUAAAACAUUUCCGUAGGAAAUCUGUACACUCACGAGUGCCUGCUUAUCAGACAGCAUUCUUUUCAAACCUCUAAAAGGAAAAAGACAGUGGAGAGCAGAAUCAGUAAUCAUAUGGUGACUCUUGUUACCCAGGCUGAAGUGCAGUGGCCCCCAUAAAAGAUCCAGCCUCAAACUCCUGGACUGCCUCAGCCUCCCGAGCUGCUCAGAUUAUGCACCGCUAUUCCUGGCCUGAAGUUUGAACUAUAAAAAACCUUAAACAUAGCACACACAGAUCUAGUAACUGCAAACUGAAUAUAUUUAAAGAUGGUAGUGUCUGUACUGAACUUUAUUCCGCAUACAUAAUGCAGCAUACCACUUACCUAGCUUCUACCUUGGAUUAAAUAUUGAGUAACCUAGACAACUCAAGUGUAUGAGAUGUGCUUAAGUCAUGUGCAAAUAACGUUUCAUACAAGGGGGCUACAGCAUCCACAUUUUGGUAUUGUGGUUCCUGAAACUGAUGGCCCGUUCUCCCAUCAAGGGACUUUUAAUCGGGGCAUUAAGCAGCCAGCUUCACAAGCUCUAAUUGGCUAUGGGCUGGCUUCCUGACAUAACCCUGCCCCCAUCUUAACAUGCUGGAUUCAAGGCAUAUAAACUGGAACUGCUUUUCUGACAAUCCGGUUUUAAAGGCAGAAGGGAAUUCCACAUUCGGUUUCCAGUGCAAACCUACUAGAUUACAAAGCCAAUGCCCAAAAGCUGACCAUUGCCUAGGACCCUCCACAUUACCUACCUAGUUGAGCAGCCUUGAUUGCAACAUCUAACAUCUUAAUCAGAAUGAGGAAGAUAAGAAUAAAGACAACCCAAGUGGGAUGGACAUCUCCUUUUCCAAUUAAAACUCUCACUUGAGCAUCUUCGCAAGUGUGAUCAGAUUUUAGACCAAUUGUAUGGAAACUCCAAGCAAAAAAAGACCAUCUAGAUUUCUAGGGGUCCCCUGGUCUCCUCAAAGCAGGCUGCGGUUCAGCAGAGCUUCAGAACCAGUAUACAGGGUUUUUUGUGAUAAUAUUAACGCACUCAAGUAGCUGAAUCAUUCCACAUCUCAGUCUUUGAACUAUUUGUUCUGUUAAGUCCAUGCAACUCAACUGAUUUGUUACCAAUUCCCCUCCACUACCCCAAAACAAGCCAGUGUUAGUGCAUUACUAAAUAGUGGAAAUGUCAAAACUAUGUAGGGCCUGUCAACAUCUCAGUAUAUAUAGUUCGAAACCUUAAAGAGCGAAUUUAAGUAACAUGCAGUCCAGGUGUCGUGAUAGGUGUUUUCUACCUUUUUGCACUUUUCAACCAUCAGUGACGAACUGAGACUUGUUGCCUUAUAUUGUUAGCUCCCAAUACCUAUCUAGUAUUUAUUAGGUCAAGCAAUGUGGCAUCUACCAAAUUGGGCUACAUGGAAAACCUUACACAUACAGAAGAGAAAUCUGGUUUCACACUAGUGCAUAAACUGAGUAAGGGCACCCCCUUGAGUGUAACAGCUGGCAUCUAAGACAGUUCCCAAUCAAUGAUCCUUGCCUGCUUGGUAAUUGUACCAGGGAACAGAACCCUCCUACCACAUUCUGUGACCAUAAAGGAUGCAAGAUGGCACGACUACUUUGUAGAGUGUUCAUUUUACAGCUUUUCUUGCUCAAAUCACUCACCGAGGGAAGAUGACAACCAGCAUUAACUUUACAGCUGUUAGUAUGCCACUCUGGAUAUAAAAAUUCUCCAAUCCUAGUUUCCUGUGAUUGGAACCUUGAGCUCUACCCAGAAUCAGUUAAGUUGCUCCCAAUUGCUGACCCAUAGAUGCUGGUUUGUUUCUCUGAACUGCUCAAAGUAUUGAGGUAAGUUGUUACACAGCAAUAUAAAGCCUUGGCCAAAAAGCAGCCUUUCUUCACUUAGGGCACUAUCUCAAAGCUACAUAAGAACUACCUUAAACUUCAAUUUCUACAAGAAAAACCGCUCAACACAAU